Molecule: ribosomal RNA, 253 nt
Filed under: uncultured bacterium
Lineage: Bacteria
Description: partial 16S ribosomal RNA
Rfam family: Bacterial small subunit ribosomal RNA
Source: RNAcentral
UACGUAGGGGGCUAGCGUUGUCCGGAAUCAUUGGGCGUAAAGCGCGUGUAGGCGGUUCGGUAAGUCCGCUGUGAAAGUCGGGGGCUCAACCCUCGAAUGCCGGUGGAUACUGUCGGACUAGAGUACGGAAGAGGCGAGUGGAAUUCCCGGUGUAGCGGUGAAAUGCGCAGAUAUCGGGAGGAACACCAAUGGCGAAGGCAGCUCACUGGGACGUUACUGACGCUGAGACGCGAAAGCGUGGGGAGCAAACAGG